GACGAACGCUGGCGGCGUGCCUAAUACAUGCAAGUAGAACGCUGAAGAGAGGAGCUUGCUCUUCUUGGAUGAGUUGCGAACGGGUGAGUAACGCGUAGGUAACCUGCCUUGUAGCGGGGGAUAACUAUUGGAAACGAUAGCUAAUACCGCAUAACAAUGGAUGACACAUGUCAUUUAUUUGAAAGGGGCAAUUGCUCCACUACAAGAUGGACCUGCGUUGUAUUAGCUAGUAGGUGAGGUAAUGGCUCACCUAGGCGACGAUACAUAGCCGACCUGAGAGGGUGAUCGGCCACAAUGGGACUGAGACACGGCCCAGACUCCUACGGGAGGAAGCAGUAGGGAAUCUGCGGAAAUGGGGGAAACCCUGACCGAGAAACGCAGAGUGAGUGAAGAAGGUUUUCGGAGCGUAAAGCUCUGUUGUAAGUCAAGAACGGGUGUGAGAGUGGAAAGUACACACUGUGACGGUAGCUGACCAGAAAGGGACGGCUAACUACGUG
RNAcentral lists this ribosomal RNA (497 nucleotides) under uncultured bacterium. RNAcentral's name for it is "partial 16S ribosomal RNA". It matches the Rfam family "Bacterial small subunit ribosomal RNA", at positions 28 to 507 of the family's 1533-position model. The record is from RNAcentral.